RNAcentral lists this long non-coding RNA (208 nucleotides) under Prunus persica (peach). RNAcentral's name for it is "long non-coding RNA (PPER_LNC001471)". Lineage: Eukaryota; Viridiplantae; Streptophyta; Magnoliopsida; Rosales; Rosaceae. The record is from RNAcentral.
AAAAACAAAGUUUAGAAACUACUAUAUGAACAUACUAACCCCACUGUAAAAACAGUUAUACAAACUAGCUUAUUUUCUAUAUUUCUGAAAGCAAUGCAUGUAUAUAACUAUACAUUUGAAAACAGUUGAAAACUAUCACCUAGGUGUACCCUUAUUUCCGUCAAAUCCUUAGAUCCGUCAAUUCCUUGCAUCACCAUGGGUGACACAU